Molecule: ribosomal RNA, 253 nt
Filed under: uncultured bacterium
Lineage: Bacteria
Description: partial 16S ribosomal RNA
Rfam family: Bacterial small subunit ribosomal RNA
Source: RNAcentral
UACGUAGGUGGCAAGCGUUGUCCGGAAUUACUGGGUGUAAAGGGAGCGCAGGCGGGAAGCCAAGUCAGCUGUGAAAACUACGGGCUUAACUUGUAGACUGCAGUUGAAACUGGUUUUCUUGAGUGAAGUAGAGGUUGGCGGAAUUCCGAGUGUAGCGGUGAAAUGCGUAGAUAUUCGGAGGAACACCGGUGGCGAAGGCGGCCAACUGGGCUUUAACUGACGCUGAGGCUCGAAAAUGUGGGGAGCAAACAGG